AUGACCUCCGGCCGCCCGCUGGCCCGGGGAUCUGCAGCUCUGCAGGCCCCUGGCUCAGGCCCAGGCCGGGAGGCCUCAGGGCUCUGUUCCCCGGGGAGGGGGAAGGGCUUGCCUGGGUCUCCUGGAGCAGAGCCUCGGGUUUUCCUUCUCCCCGGUGGCAGCGCAGGUGCCCCAGCGCCGCGAGGGGACUUCCCGGCGGGCUCGGGAGCACACCGUUCCACCUCCCUUUGCUUCCGCACCCGGCACGCCCCCGUCACGGGGGAGGGGCUGCGCAGCCGCAGGGCGCCCCCGCCCCCCUCAGGGCUCCCCGGGGCUCAGAGGGCGGGCGUGGGGGGUGUGCUCGGGUUGCCAGGGCGACGGCGCGGUUGCCAGUGGAGACGCUCACGCACACAUCCCCCCCGGGGCGUGGAACCUGGGGCUGCCCGGGCUGGGGGCUGCGGGGAGGUCAUGGGCUCUCUGGGUAGUCCCACUGUGUGGGGGGGAGUUCUGGAAGAAGCCCCCGAGCGACCCCUCCCCGCGCUGCCGACAGCGAUGACAGCAGGACUGGCCAGAGGAGCCCAGGCCCGUGCUGAGCAGGCGAUGUCCAAGCAACCAAACCCUCCCCCGCCAGAAACGCCAGGCAUCCGCGUGGCCCUCGCAUGGGGUGAGGGCCCCAGAACACAGGCCUUGGAGGCCCCACUGGCACGAAGCGCCCAGAACAGGCGGAGGGCUCGCGGCGGAGUCGCUGUGGAAGGCUGUGUCUCCUCAGACAUGUUCCUGGGGUUAUUAAUCUCCCCACAUCCUGGUCCAGCGUCCCAAGCCAGGUGGACAUGGAACACAGGCCCAGCUGCGUCAGGUGAAGGGAUGGGGGGCGUCCCCAGCUGGGGGCGACGCCGAGCCCCUGGGCCGGUUCCCGUGUGCCUGAGGCAGCCGUGACUCACGGCAGAGGAGUCAGCAGCAGCAGCCAGGGCCGGCUCCUCCCUGCACGGGGAAUGCAGCGAGGCCAGCAGGGCAGGUGGGCGUGGGCAGCGGGCUGGCCCGGCCCCGCUCCCGCCCGGGGCUCCCGAAGGCUCCCCCGGGGCCGGCUGUGAGACAUCGAGCCGGCAUCACCCCUCCUCAUUCCCGAGGAAAGAGGUCACCCCGGCCCCCACCCGCCCUGGCGCCAUGGCAGGCCCGGAGGUAGUGAGGUCCACAGGCGGCCUGGGGGGAGCGCGGACGUGGGACAGGCCCAGGAGGGAGUGCGCAGGUGGCAGCGGUCAGGGCCUUUGCCUGACCUGCACCUGGGCCCCGUCUCUGCUUGCAGCCCCUGCUGUGCCCUCCGGCCUGCCUGACCCCGCCCCCAGCCCCCCGACUAUGGCCAGACUCCUCUCCAUCUGCCCCUCGCCCCCUCCAGCCUCCUUGUCCUGCCUCGGCUCCUCUGCUCCCAACACUGACUGCCCUUUGGUGGCUGUGGGGCCCCUUGCACCCAGCCAGCGCCCACCCUCAUCUUCCAGCUGCCUCCCCUCUGCCUGGAGCUCUGGCCCUGCCCUCCCCAGCUCUCCUGAGGUCACUCAUUGCAGCCUCCCCUGGCCACCAACUAAGCAAGCACACAUGCAGUCACAUGUGUGCACAAUCACACAUGUGCACACACGCACAGUCACACGUGUGCGCAUAGUCACACACGUGCACCCACAUCACAUGUGUGCGCGCAGUCACACACGUGCACACAAUCACAUUGUGUACACACCCACACCAUCACACACGUGCACAUGCACAAUCAUACGCGUGCACACCCCGUCUGCAGAGGAGCCGGCUCCGUAGACAUGUGGCGUGCAGAAGAGUGAGCGAGUGUGUGGAGCUGGGUGGUGGUCCUGCUGGUCUCAUGGGGGCCGGGGGAGGUGGGUGUGGCCCUGUGAGGGAAAGCGCGGGGGGGGGGUUCGUCACCACAGACCCCACCCCCGUUCCUCGCGGCGAGGUGGCUGCGGGGGUUCAGCCUGGAAGGAACAGAAAGCAGGCAGCCGGGCCCAGCUGGGGGGCUUCCUGGAGACGGGCGCAGUGGGCCUGGGGCCGGAGGACAGAGUGUGGGGCCGGCCGGCCGGGGUCAGCCCGGCUGCCUCGGGUGCUCCCUGGCCCUCGUCUCCGGACCCGGCGCUGGGGCCCUGACAGGAAUACAAGGCAGACAGCUGGUGCUGCUCGGCCCCCCGCACAGGCGACCGGGGUGUGGCUGCGAAUAAGGAGCCACAAUUACCUCUCCUCCCGUCAUCCCACUGCUGGCCCCACUGGGGACCAGGAGGAAGGGCGGCCUGCACAGCCCACGGCAGCCCAGGAGACCACGGGCGCGGCCAGAGACAGCCAGGCUGGUGGGCAGCUCACAGCCAGGGCCGCUGGAGGCGGGGACAGACGGCGAAAAGCCCCUGUUCAGUCCUGCUGCAGGCCUGGGGGGUGGGGAGUGAACCAGUGGACGGAAUAGCGCGCCCCCGUGGCUGCCGUGGAGGCUGAGCCAGGGAGUUCGGGGAGGCAGGAGCGGGCGGGGGUGAGCGACCGUCAGGCGGAGCAUGGAGGGUCCCGCUGCCCAGGCACGGAGGAAUCGCACGGCCCCUGGGCAGUGCCUCUGAAAACCACCAAGGUCAACGGAAGCAAAAGGCCGGCGAGGCCGUGUGUCCGAGCAGCACCCGAGGAGGGCGGCCACAGAGCAGCGCUGGGAUCCGGAGGGACGCGAGGGGGAGACGGAACGAGGCUCAGAGCUGAGUUUGUCUGCACGGCCUCACGGGCCCGGAGGGACCCGGCACUCAGCCGCAUGCAGGUGGGAGCGGCAGGAUGACUGCCCUGGGGGUCUCCGCACGUCUAAAGCCCCACUGACUUCAGAGGCUCACCAAGGGGCCGGCGCGGUGGCGCAGUGGGCUGAGCCUCUGCCUGCAGCGCCCGCAUCCCUUAUGGGUGCUGGUUCAGGUCCCGGCUGCUCAGCGAGCCGUGCCAGCUGCAGGACCCGUGGGCGCACGCACGGAAGGGCCCGGGGCUCGGGCUGCCACUGUGCUGCUGCUGGCCUGACAUUCACCACUUUAUCCUCGAACUCGCCCCGUGUAGUGCAAACCCACGGGACACAGAGCACGCGUGUGCACAGACGCUGGCGACACACACCCACGCCGUCCAGGCACACCGGGGGCUCGGGGGGGCUCCGCUCCGGUGAUGCCGGGUGAGCGGGACGUGGCACCAGCGGGGCAGGAGUGACACCGGCAUCACAGAAGCCACGCCCUCUGUUCCACGCAGCAGCACGGAGAGGGACUGGCGCCCGCUGGGUGGCUCAGCCGCCGCCUCUGACACCCGUGCGUCCCACAUCCGAGGGCCUGCAUCUGAGUCCCGACCCCUCUCUCUGCCCAGCGGCCUGCUGACGGGCACCCUGGGAGGACUUGUGCCCCUGCCACUCACCCGGUAGACAUGGGAGAUGGGGCUCCUGGCUCCUGGCUGUUGCAAGCACCCGAGGAUUGAUCUCUCUCUCUCUCUCUCUCUCUCUCUCUCUCUCUCUCUGCCAGAUGCUACGAUGGAGGCAUUGGCAGCGUGUUCGUGGAGCAGGAAGUGAUGCAGAAACUGUCAAGCUGGUUUUGUGCAACCAGAGCCACGAACAGGCCACAAGACAGAAGCCGUGGGACCCCGGUGGCUCUGCAUGCGAGUGAGAUGUGCUCUCCCAACACUGCUGCACCCAGAAAGAGGAGUGGUGUGUGCACGCUAACGAUGAGCCAUCUUCAUGGUUCUGUGUUUGGAGUGACAGUAAAUAACCAAGAAAGGGGCCGGCGCUGUGGCGUAGCAGGUAAAGCCUCCGUCUGCAGCGCCAGCAUCCCACAUGGGAGCAGGUUCAAGCCCCGGCUGCUCCACUUCCGAUCCAGCUCUCUGCUAACGCCCUGGGAAAGCAGUAGAAGAUGGCUAAGUCCUUGGGCCCCUGCACCUGCGUGGGAGACCCAGAGAAGCUCCUGGCUCCUAGACUUGGCCUGGCUCAACCCUAGCUGUUUCAGCCAUUUAGGAAAUCAGAGGAUGGAAGAUUCUCUCUAUUUCUCUCUCUCUCUCUCUCUCUCUCUCUCUCUCUCUCUCUCUCUCUAACUCUGCCUUUAAAAUAAAUCAAUUGUUUUUAGAGAAAAUAACA
Long non-coding RNA from Oryctolagus cuniculus (rabbit), 4093 nucleotides. NCBI's taxonomy places the organism in Eukaryota, Metazoa, Chordata, Mammalia, Lagomorpha, Leporidae. The record is from Ensembl.